Molecule: ribosomal RNA, 253 nt
Filed under: uncultured bacterium
Lineage: Bacteria
Description: partial 16S ribosomal RNA
Rfam family: Bacterial small subunit ribosomal RNA
Source: RNAcentral
UACGAAGGGGGCUAGCGUUGCUCGGAAUCACUGGGCGUAAAGCGCACGUAGGCGGAUUGUUAAGUCAGGGGUGAAAUCCUGGAGCUCAACUCCAGAACUGCCUUUGAUACUGGCGAUCUCGAGUCCGGGAGAGGUGAGUGGAACUCCGAGUGUAGAGGUGAAAUUCGUAGAUAUUCGGAAGAACACCAGUGGCGAAGGCGGUCUGCUGGGCCGUUGCUGACGCUGAGGCGCGACAGCGUGGGGAGCAAACAGG